RNAcentral lists this small RNA (755 nucleotides) under Pan troglodytes (chimpanzee). RNAcentral describes it as "retained intron". The record is from RNAcentral. Lineage: Eukaryota; Metazoa; Chordata; Mammalia; Primates; Hominidae.
AGUACAUUUCAAGUUGGCCGCGGCUUGGGCUCCGCUCUGGGGAGGGGCAGCAGGUUUAUUCACUGGAUCUCUGAAUACCCAGGCCCCCUCCACCAUGGCCAGCCGGGGUGGGGGCCGGGGUCGUGGCCGGGGCCAGUUGACCUUCAACGUGGAGGCCGUGGGCAUUGGGAAAGGGGAUGCUUUGCCCCCACCCACCCUGCAGCCUUCUCCACUCUUCCCUAUUGGCGGCGUCUACCCCGGGAGCUAAAGAUCCGAGUGCGGAAGCUACAGAAGGAACGGAUUACAAUUCUGCUCCCCAAGAGGCCCCCUAAGACCACAGAAGAUAAGGAGGAAACAAUACAGAAACUAGAGGUGAGGAGGAAGUGUGCAUAGAGACCACCUGAGCCCUGGAUCCAUUCCCUCUCUCUUGGCCCAUGUGUGCCUCAAUUUUUCCCUUCUGUGAACUGAACCUGAGUUUCUAUUCCUAUUCAUCCCCACAUGAGACCCUGGAGAAGAAGGAAGAAGAAGUAACUUCAGAGGAGGAUGAGGAGAAAGAAGAAGAAGAAGAGAAGGAAGAGGAGGAAGAAGAAGAGUAUGAUGAAGAAGAACACGAAGAGGAAACUGAUUACAUCAUGUCAUAUUUUGACAAUGGAGAGGACUUUGGUGGUGACAGUGAUGACAAUAUGGACGAGGCUAUAUACUGAAGAAGGACUCUGGACCCUCGUGUCUUUCUUUAGGAUACAGAGAGUAACUGUACCUAUUAUUUGUUUCUUCAG